ACAAUGCGAAGCGAAGCAGCGAUGUGAAGCAAAUCGCACCAAAGCCGGUCCCAGUUCGGAUAAGAGGCUGAAACUCGCCUCUUUGAAGUCGGAAUCGCUAGUAAUCGCAGAUCAGCAUGUUGCGGUGAAUACGUUUCCUGGUCUUGUACACACCGCCCGUCAAACCAUGAGAGUCGCCAACACCCGAAGUCCGCUUUGCGGCCUAAGGUGGGGAGAUGAUUGGGGUUAAGUCGUAACAAGGUAGC
This 245-nucleotide ribosomal RNA is filed under the name uncultured bacterium. RNAcentral describes it as "partial 16S ribosomal RNA". It matches the Rfam family "Bacterial small subunit ribosomal RNA", at positions 1239 to 1500 of the family's 1533-position model. The record is from RNAcentral.